This 466-nucleotide ribosomal RNA is filed under the name uncultured bacterium. Its description in RNAcentral is "bacterial SSU rRNA". It matches the Rfam family "Bacterial small subunit ribosomal RNA", at positions 26 to 518 of the family's 1533-position model. The record is from RNAcentral.
AGAACGAACGCUGGCGGCAUGGAUUAGGCAUGCAAGUCGAACGAGGCAGCAAUGCCGAGUGGCGGAAGGGUGAGGAACGCGUGAGUAAUCUGCCCCCUAGUUGGGAAUAACAGUUGGAAACGACUGCUAAUACCGGAUGUGGCUCAUUGGUCGCAUGACCGAUGGGCUAAAGAUUUAUCGCUAGGGGAUGAGCUCGCGUCCCAUUAGCUAGUUGGUGAGGCAACGGCUCACCAAGGCGACGAUGGGUAGCUGGUCUGAGAGGAUGGUCAGCCACACUGGGACUGAGACACUGCCCAGACUCCUACGGGAGGCUGCAGUCGAGAAUCUUGGGCAAUGCGCGAAAGCGUGACCCAGCAAUGCCGCGUGCGGGAUGAAGGUCUUCGGAUUGUAAACCGCUGUCAACCGGGACGAACACAAUGACUGUACCGGUAAAGGAAGCCACGGCUAACUACGUGCCAGCCGCGGC